AAAACGACUCUCGGCAACGGAUAUCUCGGCUCUCGCAUCGAUGAAGAACGUAGCGAAAUGCGAUACUUGGUGUGAAUUGCAGAAUCCCGUGAACCAUCGAGUCUUUGAACGCAAGUUGCGCCCCAGGCCUUUAGGCCGAGGGCACGUCUGCCUGGGUGUCACG
This 163-nucleotide ribosomal RNA is filed under the name Harpullia arborea. RNAcentral describes it as "5.8S ribosomal RNA". It matches the Rfam family "5.8S ribosomal RNA". From Rfam's summary of the family: 5.8S ribosomal RNA (5.8S rRNA) is a component of the large subunit of the eukaryotic ribosome. It is transcribed by RNA polymerase I as part of the 45S precursor that also contains 18S and 28S rRNA. Functionally, it is thought that 5.8S rRNA may be involved in ribosome translocation. The record is from RNAcentral. Lineage: Eukaryota; Viridiplantae; Streptophyta; Magnoliopsida; Sapindales; Sapindaceae.